Molecule: transfer RNA, 86 nt
Filed under: Candidatus Omnitrophota bacterium
Lineage: Bacteria; Pseudomonadati; Candidatus Omnitrophota
Description: Candidatus Omnitrophica bacterium (hot springs metagenome) tRNA-Leu
Rfam family: tRNA
About the family: Transfer RNA (tRNA) molecules are approximately 80 nucleotides in length. Their secondary structure includes four short double-helical elements and three loops (D, anti-codon, and T loops).
Source: RNAcentral
GCCGGAGUGGUGGAAUUGGCAGACACGCAUGACUCAAAAUCAUGUGAGGUUUUACCCUCGUGUCGGUUCGACUCCGACCUCCGGCA